CUGGUACUUGUCUUCUAAGAACAGUAAUAGGAGCAAAAUUUGCUACCUGUUGAAGCAAUUUUCCUGUUUUGAUAGAUUAGUCCUGAAGAAUGCUGUUCCUUCUUUUAAAUAGAAGAAAGUAAAGGAUGAUGCUGCCAUACCAGAUCAAGCUAGAGACAGAGGAAUCAGGAAUAUGCAGGGAAUUCAGAGAUGCUGCUUGGAAUUAUUUCCUGGGUUGCACAGGGAAGGAGAUGUCUCUAGGUGUUUUUCUGUGGAAAGUCCACCCAGAUUUUCUUCUUAUGGAAUGAAAAGAUGUGCAUCACCAAUGAAAGGAUAUUUUAAAGUGGUUCCACACUUUUUCCAUCAUGUGCAGGCAAUAAAAGUUAUUAGGAGGACACUUGCUAGCUCUGUAUUGUCAGAGUGACCACAGACCAACCUUCAGCAUCCCAGAUGGAAUUAGACUAGUGGAUGAUCAAAAGUGUGGCUUAUGACCAGAAUCAAAUAAAUCUGAAGCAUCUUCAUAAGUGCUGUAGAGU
This 515-nucleotide long non-coding RNA is filed under the name Calidris pygmaea (Spoon-billed sandpiper). RNAcentral describes it as "lncRNA (ENSCPGG00000001843.1)". Lineage: Eukaryota; Metazoa; Chordata; Aves; Charadriiformes; Scolopacidae. The record is from RNAcentral.